Molecule: long non-coding RNA, 326 nt
Organism: Esox lucius (northern pike)
Lineage: Eukaryota; Metazoa; Chordata; Actinopteri; Esociformes; Esocidae
Exons: 3
Source: RefSeq, a predicted model, not a curated record
UCUGCUGAUGGGGAUCCAGUGAGUCCCAGGCGCUACACUCUCUUUAUUAUCUCCAUUGUGUUGAAUUGUCUUUUUUACACUUCCUUUUUCUUAAGAGGGGAAAAAGGAAUUUGUAGUUUGUUAGAGCCGAAGUCACUGGCCACAGCAUGUCUGCAGAGAAGAAGCCAAAGAAAAAGAAGGCAGAGACAGCCAGCCCAGCCCUCAAUGGUGCCGAUGCCAAGCCCAAAAAGAGCAAAAGCAAGAAGAACGAAGACCUGUCUGGAGAGGAGAGCCCUGCAGUUCAAAAUGGAAAAAAGGUGAAGAAAAAGAAACCAGAUGAACCAGAA